Molecule: long non-coding RNA, 622 nt
Organism: Oncorhynchus tshawytscha (Chinook salmon)
Lineage: Eukaryota; Metazoa; Chordata; Actinopteri; Salmoniformes; Salmonidae
Source: Ensembl
GGAUGACGAGGAGAAGUAAGAUGGAAGGUGAGGGGGGAUGAAGGGAGGAUGACGAGGAGAAGUAAGGUGGAAGGUGAGGGGGGUGAGGGGAGGAUGACGAGGAGAAGUAAGAUGGAAGGUGAGGGGGGGGUGAAGGGAGGAUGACGAGGAGAAGUAAGAUGGAAGGUGAGGGGGGUGAAGGGAGGAUGACGAGGAGAAGUAAGAUGGAAGGUGAGGGGGUGAAGGGAGGAUGACGAGGAGAAGUAAGAUGGAAGGUGAGGGGGUGAAGGGAGGAUGACGAGGAGAAGUAAGGUGGAAGGUGAGGGGGGUGAAGGGAGGAUGACGAGGAGAAGUAAGAUGGAAGGUGAGGGGGGUGAAGGGAGGAUGACGAGGAGAAGUAAGGUGGAAGGUGAGGGGGGGGUGAAGGGAGGAUGACGAGGAGAAGUAAGAUGGAAGGUGAGGGGGGUGAAGGGAGGAUGACGAGGAGAAGUAAGAUGGAAGGUGAGGGGGGGUGAAGGGAGGAUGACGAGGAGAAGUAAGGUGGAAGGUGAGGGGGGUGAAGGGAGGAUGACGAGGAGAAGUAAGAUGGAAGGUGAGGGGGUGAAGGGAGGAUGACGAGGAGAAGUAAGAUGGAAGGUGAGGG